Molecule: ribosomal RNA, 420 nt
Filed under: uncultured bacterium
Lineage: Bacteria
Description: bacterial SSU rRNA
Rfam family: Bacterial small subunit ribosomal RNA
Source: RNAcentral
AGGAAUAUUGGUCAAUGGGCGGGAGCCUGAACCAGCCAAGCCGCGUGAAGGAGGAAGGCGCCAUGCGUCGUAAACUUCUUUUGUCGGGGAACAAAGGGCGCCACGCGUGGCGUUGUGAGUGUACCCGAAGACAAAGCAUCGGCUAACUCCGUGCCAGCAGCCGCGGUAAUACGGAGGAUGCGAGCGUUAUCCGGAUUUAUUGGGUUUAAAGGGUGCGUAGGCGGGCUUUUAAGUCAGCGGUAAAAAUUCGGGGCUCAACCCCGUCCGGCCGUUGAAACUGGGGGCCUUGAGUGGGCGAGAAGAAGGCGGAAUGCGUGGUGUAGCGGUGAAAUGCAUAGAUAUCACGCAGAACCCCGAUUGCGAAGGCAGCCUUCCGGCGCCCUACUGACGCUGAGGCACGAAAGUGCGGGGAUCGAACAG